Unclassified non-coding RNA from Chrysemys picta bellii (western painted turtle), 145 nucleotides. NCBI's taxonomy places the organism in Eukaryota, Metazoa, Chordata, Testudines, Emydidae. The record is from Ensembl.
UGGAUUGGCAGCCCUAUAUCUCCACAGAAACUGCAGCAGCAGUGUUAGUUUCCCAACACAUCCUGUCAAUGGGUCUCAAACCUGGCCUGGAGAGACCAUUCUAGGAUGAGACUAGUCCCCAUGGCCCUCUCUGUCCUUGGACUCU